This 253-nucleotide ribosomal RNA is filed under the name uncultured bacterium. RNAcentral describes it as "partial 16S ribosomal RNA". It matches the Rfam family "Bacterial small subunit ribosomal RNA", at positions 524 to 776 of the family's 1533-position model. The record is from RNAcentral.
UACGAAGGGGACUAGCGUUGUUCGGAUUUACUGGGCGUACAGGGAGCGUAGGCGGUUGGGUAAGCCCUCCGUGAAAUCUCCGGGCCUAACCCGGAAAGUGCGGAGGGGACUGCUCGGCUAGAGGAUGGGAGAGGAGCGCGGAAUUCCCGGUGUAGCGGUGAAAUGCGUAGAUAUCCGGAGGAAUACCAGUGGCGAAGGCGGCACGCUGGGCCAUAACUGACGCUAAGACGCGAAAGCAUGGGUAGCGAACGGG